CCUCUCCACUUCUAACAAGAAGGCUCCCAGUGCAGGGAAGAGUCACAGAGACUAUGUAACCUUUGUGGUCUGGAACUGGCCCCAGGCUGUGUGGCCAGAGCAGACUCCAAGUUCCUGCUUAGGGGCUCAGUUUCUACAAGAGAGUUAGGAUGACAGAAGUGUCACAAGCAGAGGAAAAGGUGUCAAGUAGACCCUGGGACCCCACUCUCCCCAUUGUCUUUCUGGCCACUGUUCUCUUGUUAGCCUGUCUCAUCAGAGAGCCGUCUGGGUGGCUGAGGUCCUUUGCAGGUGACCCUCAGUAGCACCCUACUGCAUAAGCCAUGUGCAGGAUGCGCAUACAGACAUCUCUAAUACGUCUCUCCUCUUCACACGCAACGCAUGGGUGGGUUUGGCAGCAGGUCAGCCACGUGAGGGACUGCCCAACCGCUAAGGACUCUUUAAGGAGGCACACACACUCCACGUACAAACACACAUGUCGCAGAGGGAGGCCCGGCCUCUCCGUGAAUAAAUGAAAGCAUAUCUGCGUGUUGAGGAAAAAUCUUUAGCUAUGGUCUGAGCCAGCAGGAAUGUGCAUCUGUUCUUCAUUAGGACCAGGCCCCCGCGCCACCAGCUGCUGGGAGCCACGAACGUGGAACACUUCUGAAGCCUGGCUCCACUGGGAGCUUCCUGGGAAGGGCAGCCUCCCUCACAGAACGGCCCCCACUGGAGGCUGGAGGUUCUGCCCCAGACUUGGGCUGGGGAUAAGUUGUGACUUGCUGCUCUCUGGGUCCUCUCAUCACUGCUCAAUGUCUUUAGGAUUUCUCCUGGCUUGAGUGGGUGAGGCAGGCGCUGGAGUGGCUGAGCCUCAGAAGAAGCUGACAGACAUUCCAUCAGGGGAAGACAGUGCCACUUAGACUACUGUCAGCUCGAGACCCUUGUGUUCAUCCCGGAAGCCACUCUUGGCUGAAGUAGCACUGUCCUCCAGGAGCCCCCUAGAAAGGCUGUGGAUCCCCUGCUCACAGGUGCCCGUCAUGGCUCUGGAAACCAGGUUGCUUGGGCUGGAUUCCAGCCAGAGACGCUGCACACAUCUGAUCACGUGAGAGAAUGGGAGCCCGUCCGUGGGCUUGCCAGCCAGCGUUUCCCGUGAGUCAGAUGCCACAGAGGUGGGACAUGGGUCCCUGGCAGUGUGCUUUACAGGCUGUCUCCCAACAAGGUCUAUAAAGGUCCAUCUACCUGGAUACUGGGGCUGACCUUCAAACCACCCUUGGGUGUCAAAGGAGGGAGGCAUCUGUGGACAGGGGAGUGGACUUAGUCACACAAGAAGGCCAGGCACACAUUGAGAUUGAAGUGCCUCAGGGUCCAGGGUCAAGCACUUGGUGUCUUGAUCAGUGCAGGAUCUGCAACAGCUCCUCCUAAGUCCUCCCUACAGAGCUCCCCAUCGAUAGCAGCUGAGUCCGUAGCCCCGACAUCCAUGAGCUGCCUCUGGAGCUAUGGUGGCAAAGGAAACAAGGAGGAAUAGGAGCCCCAAGGCAAGUACGCCAUGCACACGGCGCCUCUGAGAAAAGCCUCCCAGUGAAGACCUAGUUCAGUUCACCAACCACCCUAUCUGUCCUGUUGCCUAAGCCGUGGGAAUCAUAGGUGCAGGCAGGUAGCAGGCUCCUCUCUGGGCAGGUCCCCAGAUCGCUUUGUGGGACGGGAUGCUCUGCUAAUAAUGAGAAGGACUGUGGACAUCCUGGCAUUUAACAAAAACGGAAGGAAGGGAAACCCAUCCCUCUGACAUUAGAAAGUUGAAUAUAUGAGAUCAGCUCUGGGUCCCACCCUUCCUGAGGGCUGUAUCUCCCAGGAGCUGCGAGGAACAGGAAGCCCCUGGCCAUCUGGGUUCUACAGCUUACAAUGAAAUGUGUUAUACAGGUACUAACUCAGCUCCAGGCACGAGCCCGUCUAGACGGCUCUGUGGGGGUAAGCCAUGCUUCAGAAACGACCCCCAUCCAGUAUCAGUCCAGCUGGCUCAACCACACUGUAAAUCCAGAAUUGGCAAGAACCCGGUAGAAGUCAGACCCUGAGAGGCACCUGGGGCAGAACCGUGUCCAGCCAGUUUCUGGGAUCACAGGCCUGACCAGAAAGACAUAGGCAGCAAUGUUGCUAAGAACAAAACUACACCGAGAAGAAUCCUGGGUAUGAGUCGCUCUGCUCAAAGCCAGGAUCUGUGUGUGAAGGUUCAGUUCUAAAUGAGAGUGGUCAUUUUCAGAGCUUGUGAUUAAAAAAAAAAAA
Molecule: long non-coding RNA, 2250 nt
Organism: Mus musculus (house mouse)
Lineage: Eukaryota; Metazoa; Chordata; Mammalia; Rodentia; Muridae
Product: predicted gene, 52342
Exons: 3
Source: RefSeq, a predicted model, not a curated record